AGAGUUGGUCUAGAGGUUGCGGGAUCAUUUGAUCAAUGAUUCCGAGGAAAGUCCGAACUCCCGAAAGACCACACUUGCUGGAUAACGUCCAGUACGCGCGAGCGUGAGGAUAGUGCCACAGAAAAAUACCGCCCCCUUUUUUCAGUGUUGCCAAAGGCACGGCGUAGCCGUCCAGUAAACAGUGAUCAGUAAACAGUAACGAAAGUAAAUUCACUGAUAACUAAUAACUUUCCACUGAUAACUGAUAACUGAUAACUGAUAACUGAUUGGGGGUAAGGGUGCAAAGGUGCGGUAAGAGCGCACCAGCAGUAUCGAGAGGUACUGGCUCGGUAAACCCCGGUGGGGAGCAAGGUGGAGGGACAAAGGUUGGUCUUUUUCCUGUCCCGUUUUUAGGAACCGCUUGAGGUAAUUGGUAACAAUUAUCCCAGAUAGAUAACCUCUAUUCCAACAAAGGUAAAAGCAAUUUUACUGCUGUUGGGAAAUACAGAAUUCGGCUUAUGUCUGACUCUCUCC
This 513-nucleotide RNase P RNA is filed under the name Microcystis sp. LE19-338.1B. RNAcentral's name for it is "RNase P RNA component class A". It matches the Rfam family "Bacterial RNase P class A". Rfam says of the family: Ribonuclease P (RNase P) is a ubiquitous endoribonuclease, found in archaea, bacteria and eukarya as well as chloroplasts and mitochondria. Its best characterised activity is the generation of mature 5'-ends of tRNAs by cleaving the 5'-leader elements of precursor-tRNAs. Lineage: Bacteria; Bacillati; Cyanobacteriota; Cyanophyceae; Chroococcales; Microcystaceae. The record is from RNAcentral. RNAcentral also lists the same sequence under 1 other name.